RNAcentral lists this long non-coding RNA (5661 nucleotides) under Olea europaea subsp. europaea. The record is from RNAcentral. Lineage: Eukaryota; Viridiplantae; Streptophyta; Magnoliopsida; Lamiales; Oleaceae.
AGUGGUCGUCUUGUCAUACCCAAUUUCAAUACUUUGACCAUGGACCCUUCUCAAUUUGAUGCCCUUACUCGAGAAUUAACUCAACUACAGUCUCAACUAGCAACUGUUCAAGCUAAGGUGACUGCUACUCAUGAAGAGAGUAGAGAACUAGCUGCUAAGGUGAAUAAUUUAAAAUGAACAUCUCCCUCAACCGACGCUGAUAACUCUGAAGCCUCUCAUAGCAUACCCAUCAUCAUCGACAUGGUGGUCGACGACGUAUUCAUCAUGGACGAAGGAAUGAGGAACAGGAAUGCAAUCAUGAACGAGACCAUGACCAUUAUGGUACUCAUUCACCUCCUCGCUACGAGGAGCGUUACUUUCGAAACAUCAAGUUAGAUGCUCCUACUUUCAAUGACUGUUUAGAUCCUAGAGUUUUUACACAAUGGAUUAGAGACAUGGAUCGUUUCUUUUCAUGGUAUAGAGUCCCAAAGGAUCGAAGAGUUCAAUUUGUCAGUUUGAAAUUAACUGGUACUGCCCAACUCUUUUGGAAAAGCGUUGAGGACCUUCUUGAGAGGCGUCAUGCACCUCCAGUUGAAAGUUGGGAGGGAAUGAAGCGCUGCUUUCAAGAGAAGUAUUUACCCCACUCUUAUAGGAGUAACUUGUUGGACUAGUGGAAUGCCCUCACACAAGGAAACCGUCCAGUGACUGACUAUCUUACUCAAUUUGAUGAGUUCCGAAUGCGAUGCCACAUCGUCGAGGAUAAAGCUAUGAUUUUAAGUAGGUUCAGAUAGGGCCUAAGAGAUGAUCUUCGGCGUGAGCUUGUUCUUCGAGGUGUCACCACUCUCGAUCACGCUUAUUCCUUAGUUCGAGAUUACGAGUCGAUUACUAAGACUCCGUAUGGAAGGCUUAGUGAUAACCGUCCAUCUAUCUCAUCGACACCACCUCCUCCCGCCAAAUCUCUUCUAGGACCUCCACCGUCUAACACACUCCCUGCUUUAGACAAUAAAGGUAAAGCUCCUGAAGCUUCAAGAACUUCUUGUUUGCAAUGCUUCAAUUGUAAGGGCUUCGGCCAUAUCUCCUCUAGAUGUCCGAGCCGAGCCUUAGUUAUUGACGAGUGAAAGGAUGUCGUUGAUGAGCCUUUAGGAGAUCAAGUCUAUGAGCCUAACUUUGAAGGGUUUGACGAUUUGGGUGAUAAUGAGGAUACCUUUUUAGGUUGCCUUCGUACCCUUCUUAUAGGUCUAGGUCCUGCUUCUCUGGCCCCCGAAACCUCUAGGUUGAGUGUUGUACGUUGUACCCUUACCCAACCUAAGGAUGUCGAUGAUUGGUGCCGUUAUGCUAUUUUUCAUACUUGCAUCAAGAUUAACGAUAAAGGUUGUAAGAUUAAUGUUUACAGUGGGAGUUGUAUUAACGCGGUUUCUAUGACCACAGUGUCCCGUCUUAGAUUAAAGUCAGUCCCGCACCCCCAACCAUAUAGUAUCUCUUGGGUUGACACUUCUUCUAUAGUUGUGAAAGAGCAUUAUUUGGUGUCUAUCCAGUUCCUUGAGUAUAAGGAUGUAACUAGCCAUGGGCGAUCAAAUUCAUGUUCCUUUGUAUUUAAUGGAAAGAAGAUUCACCUUAAUCUUUUACCACCAAAAUUUGUUGGCUCACACUAAGCCAAAAAAAUUGUCAAGAGGAAAGGAUUACAUGUGAUUAGCCCUACAGAAUUUGAACGGAUAAUCGUAAAUGAUUCAGUCGUAUUUGCUGUGAUUGUUAUGAAAGUCCUGUCCGAUUCCCCAAUAGCGACCCCUACUGAAGUCCAAUCACUCCUUCAGGAAUUUAAGGAUGUAUUUCCUGACGACCUCCCUGAUCUAUUGCCUCCCUUACGGGAUAUUCAACAUGCUAUAGAUCUAGCUCCAAGUGUGUCUCUCCCAGAUUCACCUCACUAUAGAAUGAAUCCUGCUGAACAUGCCGAGCUCCAGAGAUAAGUGAGUGAACUCCUUCACAAAGGCUUCAUCCGUGAAAGUUUAAGCCAUUGUGCAGUUCCCGCCCUUUUGACACCCAAAAAAGAUGGUUCUUGAAGGAUGUACGUUAAUAGUCACGCUAUCAAUAAGAUCACUGUCAAGUAUCGUUUUCUUAUCCCUCGACUUGAUGAUAUGCUAAAUAUGAUGGCCGGUGCCAAAAUCUUUUCCGAAAUUGAUUUGAAGAGUAGGUAUCAUCAGAUUAGGAUCCGCCCAAGAGACGAGUGAAAAACUGCAUUUAAAACGAAAGAUGGUCUAUACGAGUGGUUGGUCAUGUCUUUUAGACUAAGCAAUGCUCCAAGUACUUUUGUGAGGGUGAUGACACAGGCCCUUUGACCUUUCAUGGGCAUAUUCAUUGUCAUAUACUUUGAUGACAUUCUCGUAUACAGUAAAACUAGGGAACAACAUCGAGAUCAUCUCACGCAAGUUUACUCUACACUGCGUGCUACAAGCUUGUAUGCCAAUGUGAAGAAACGUUCUUUCUUCACUGAUAGAGUUGUGUUCCUCGAGUUCAUUGUUUCCACUACGGGAGUAUCUGCUAAUCCUACGAAGAUUCGGGCAAUUGUUGAUUGGCCUGACCCCAAGAAUAUACAUGAAGUUAGGAGUUUUCAUGGUUUAGCUACCUUUUAUCGUCGUUUCAUCAAGCGAUUUAGUACGAUCAUGGCUCCUAUCACAGAGUGUAUGAAGAGAGGAGAAUUUCAUUGGACGCAAGAAGCGGCUAAGGCCUUUAAGUUAAUCAAAAGGCGAAUGACAGAGGCUCCUAUCAUACGACUCCCAGAUUUUUGCAAAGUCUUUAAGGUCGAAUGUGAUGCAUCAGGGGUAGGAAUAGAUGGAGUCUUAAGUCAAAAACGCCAUCUUAUUGCUUAUUUUAGUGAGAAAUUAAAUGAUGCCAAGCAACGGUACUCGACUUAUGAUAAGGAGUUGUAUGCAGUUGUACAAGCCUUGCACUAUUGGCUUAAUUACUUAUUACCCCAAGAAUUUGUCCUCUUUUCGGACAAUGAGGCCCUUCGUUUCCUUAAUUCCCAGAGACGAUUGAAUUCUAGGCAUAGACGCUGGAUCGAAUAUUUGCAGGUCUAUUCUUUUGUCUUAAAGUAUAAAAAGGGUGUUGAAAAUCGAGCAGCUAACGUUUUAAACUGUCGCAUCUCCCUGUUGUCCAUCAUGAGUGUUAAGGUCAUAGGGUUUGAAAGACUUAAGGAAGAGUAUAAGUCAUGUCCCGAUUUCAAAAACAUUUUUCUUACUUUGCAAAAUGGGAAGUUGGACACUACUGAUAGUUUCCAUUUGGAGGGGCCCUAUCAUUUUAGAUCCAAUAAGUUGUGUAUCCCGAGGACUUCAGUGUGAGACUUUAUAGUGAGGGAAAGCCAUACUGGCGGGUUGGCCGAGCAUUAUGGGCAUGAUAAGACCAUAGAUGAAAUUGAACGUCAAUUCUAUUUGCCCAGCUUAAAGACAGACGUGGCCAGAAUAGUUAGCACAUGUAACACCUGUCAGCAAUCUAAGCAAAAGAGGCAGAACACGGGUCUCUACACGCCUCUUCCCAUCCCUAGUUGUCCUUGGCAGACGUUAGUAUGGAUCAUGCUAUGGUUGUCACGUACUCCAAAGAAACACGACUCCAUUUUUGUUGUAGUAGAUCGCUUCUCAAAAAUGGCACACUUUAUUCCCUAUAACAAAACUUUCGAUGCAUCUAAGGUUGCUAAGUUAUACAUUCAUGAGAUCGUCAAGUUGUAUGGCCUCUCUAAGACCAUUGUCUUAGAUAGGGAUGUUCGUUUCACUAGCCAUUUUUUGUGAACCCUAUAGAGUAUGGUUGGCACUAAACUGAAAUUCUCUACUGCAAACCACCCACAAACGGACAGUCAAACUGAAAUUGUUAACCGCAGUCUCUGUAAUCUAUUAAGAUGUCUAGUCCAGGAAAAUCUUAAAAAUUGGGACUUAAUUCUUCCUACUGCCCAACUUGCAUAUAACAGUCCAGUGAAUUGGUCUAUAGGUAUGAGUUCUUUUGAGGUUGUUCAUGGUUUUAAACCUAGGAAGCCGUUAGAUCUUAUUCCCAUGUCUCCGUAUGCUAGUGUGUCUGUGUCAACUGAGUCUUUUGCACAACAUCUGCAUGACUUGCAUAUUGAGAUCAAUAAACAGCUGGAAGCAAGUAAUGCAUUAUAUAAAUUUCGAGCUAAUUUGCACACACGCCACGUUGAAUUUGAUGUUGGAGAUUAUGUUAUGAUUCGAAUUAGACCAGAACGGCAUCCAUCUGGGCCUGCUUCCAAAUUACAAGCUCAUAGUGCUUGUUCUUUUAAAAUUUUAAAGCAUAUUUGUCCAAAUGCAUAUGUCAUUGACUUACUAUCACAUUUUGUCUGCCACCCUACCUUUAAUGUUGAAGACUUAGUUGCUUACAAUGGCCAAUUUCACCCUGCUAAUGUCUAUCUAUAGGCCCUCAUCCAAAACAUGUUAUUCCUGCCCCGAUUCCACCUGUUGCAGCACAUAAAGAUAAAAUUCAAGCUAUUCUAGAUGCACAGACCAUAUUAACCAAGGAUGAGACAUUCAGCGCUUCGUUGUUCGUUGGGAGAGCCAUCCCGAUUCUGAUUGUACUUGGAUUUCCAAGGAGACACUUCAGCAGCUUGAUCCUGAUUUGUUGGAGCAUUAUAGGAGUUAACAAGAUCUUUCCCUACCCGAACCACCACCCUUACGUGUCUACAGACGUCGAAAGAGGUUUGCUCAACCGCUUAGUUUGUCGCUGGGAGAUUGACAGCAGCCUUUUGUGAUUUCCCUACUCGACGGGGUCGAAUUUUCCCUUACCUCGGGAGAGUUGAUGCGGACAUUAUCCUCAUCAGGCCAUUUUAUCUUCUAUUUAUUUAUUUUAGGCCUUAUGUUUCAUUGGGCUUGUAUAUAGAUUUGGCCCAAGCCCAAGUUUAUUAUUUUGUUAUUUACGAUUGUAAUUUGGAUUGAAAGAUCAGUUGGAUAGAAUGAAAAUUAUUCACAUUGUUGCUCCACUUUCCCUGUCUUCUCUCUUCUCCCUCAUUCUUGCUUCUUCCCAUACUCCCUCGAUUGCUUCUCUAAUGGUCCUACAUCAGCUAGCUUCCACAUAGGAAGGAAAUUAAAAAACAUACUGAAGAAAUUUAUCCUAAGAACAAUGAACAUAGAAGACAAAAAAAUGUUGGAAGUUAGCUGAAUAAGAAGUGGACUUGUGAUAAUUGAAGGCUUUUUUGUUAGAAUUAUAUGUAUGUAGAACAUUUAUUAGGUAAGAUAAACUUUCAUUAAUUCGAAGGAAACUACAAGUAUAGGUUAUAAGUGCUCUAGGGCAAACCUACUUAAUAGACUGACCUAUUGUGGAUGCCAAACUCAUGGGAAGGUCAAGCAUCUGAUAUAAAAGAAGUGUAAACUAGUCAAGUCGAACCGACAAUCAUUUGACUUGGCAAUUCACAUAAAGGAGUCAUAUUCAAUACCAAACCUUUCACGUGGUUGAUAAACAAUCACAAAUGACAGAUCAACUACACUGCACUGCACUGCAUUUGUAAAUUUCGGCGGAGCCAACAGCCACCUUGCUGGGUUCUGGCUGCGCCACUGGCGACACCUAGGUUCGAGGCUUGGGCGAAAUGCCAUGCUUUGGCAAUAAGCAUCUAGUGGCACUUUAUAAUUAUUUUUUAUUUUUUUCAUUUUUUAAAGCCAUUUAUUUAAUUUUUGUUUUAAGUUUUUAAAUGAC